Long non-coding RNA from Armigeres subalbatus, 830 nucleotides. RefSeq lists it as uncharacterized. Lineage: Eukaryota; Metazoa; Arthropoda; Insecta; Diptera; Culicidae. The transcript has 3 exons. The record is from RefSeq and is a predicted model, not a curated record.
AAAAUUUGACAGCUCCGAAAUUUCACCAUCAUCCGACGAAAUCGGGUACCUUCCAAGUCGACCUAUUUUUUCACCGACGACGUCGAUUACCGUAGGCUACAUAUUUUCGUCGUCAGAUUUAUUGAACGAUUAAGUCGCGAGCAAUCGGUUGCCUAUUUAAUCGGUUAAAUAUUCGAUUGAUUGUUUAUUUGGUGUUUAUUUUGAUCGUUUGAUUGAUAUACAGAUGAAAUCGGAUUCCUGUGUUCAUAAACAUAGAAUAAACAAAGUAAGUAUAUGAUAUUUAAUUAUUGAAAUAUGACCUUAUUUGUAAGAUUUUCAGAUCGAGACAUAUUCAAGAAUGUUCCGGAACAUCAAGGAAGACCGGAUAAUCAAGGUGAAAGAAAUGAAAAUUUGUUUGGUGUGCUCAUUUGUAUCGGAAUUGCCUACAUUGGCAUGUAUGUAAAAAGAAAAAUGGCUAUCUAAGAAGUUGGAGAACGAUGGUAACACAGGGGAGGUUAGAAAUGCCGAAUACCCUAUAUUGAAAUUCCAAAAGAAUCCGGUGCUAUGAUACCCAGUAGUCCUAGUAAUGUAAGUCUUUCAUAUACUGCACUCAAUCAAGUAAAAUUUUAUUAAAUAAUCAAUUAUUUUCAGCUACCAACCGAUAAUCUUCUAAACCAAAGUCCAUUUAAUAUCUCGACCUGGACAGAUUCAAGUACUGUCACACAUGCCAUCCGUUUUAAUAAAUCGAUUAAACCCUCGAUUUGGUUUGUUUUCAUUAUGUUCCAUGCCGACUAAUCUAUGGAUUUAGUCGGUUCUGCUCUAUGAUAAAAUUCAAUAAACAGAUUAAACAC